CUCUCUUCCCUGCUGCCAUGCAAGAUGUGACUUUGCUUCUCAUUCGCCUUCCACCAUGAUUGUGAGGCCUCCCAAGCCAUGUGGAACUAUAAAGGAAACCUCUUUCCUUUAUAAACUACCCAGUUUCGGUCUACAAAAGAAAAGUCAAAAUAAAUGACAUUAGCCCAUAGCAGCUGAUAUAUUUUAAUUCUUUCCUCAUAUUAUUAACAAACAUGAGACUUUCUCUUUCCAGGGAAGUUGGAUCUGUAUGGGAAUCCAAAGAUAAUUACAGCUGAGCCAUCCUGAGAUAGAGCCCCUGAGAGGCAUAGAAAUCUCCAAAGUGGCCUCUUUUUACACAGAUUGUGGAUAUUCAGUUCUUCCUUUGGUCCCAUGUUACAAACUAGAUUAUUCUUUGCUUUAGAUAUCCAACCAUUCAGACUCCUAGCUGAGUCUUACAAGUUUCUAGCUCAGGAGGGAGUUGUUGGGUGGCAGGGGGUGGCUCUGUGGUUGCUGGUUAUGUGGGGAACAUGUGGGAAGUGCAAGGAGAAAGGAAAGCUCCGGGCUUGCACACGUCAGUCAGGGCUGGUUCCUGUUCCUGUAACCUAAGAUUUCUGUUGACAUGGUGCCAAUUCCCUGGCAGGCAGGAAGAGGCUGCCAUGGAGCAGACACCGGUCAUAACCAAGCAAUUACCAGGCACUUAAAAACUUAAUGAAAUGGUCGCUGUUAGAAGCAGUCAUGCCAGGAACACACUCAUAACGUGCAGCAGCUACAGGCCAGGCUGGCUGAUGAGAGGCUGAAAGCGUCUCCUCUGUGCCCUUCCGGGAGUGGUUCCCAGAAAUGUCGGUCUUAGCCUCUGACCCAGUGUCAGCGUGCUGUUCUCUUGCUCCUCCCCGAUGUCAGUGGAUUCAUUUUUAUCAAAAAUGUCUUGAUGUUUAUUGUUAAGCUUGAAUUCCCACACAAUUUUAGCACUUCCCCCAUUUUCUUGGUGUCUCAAGUGAUUUUUCUUGGGACUCAGAGUUCAGAGAAACAUGCAUUUCCAGAAAAAAGCUGGGAAGGGACUCUUGCAUGGGAACACUGUCUAAAAGCACUUUCACCUUGGUUUCUGGAAACAGGCACAUUGCAAGCUACAGUUUAGGACCUGAUGCCACUUUGAAGGUGUGUCAGCUGGACACAGAAAACGAGGUUACGGAAACAAUGGUCCCAGCACAGCUCACUCUCCACCACGCUGCGCUCUCUCUCCUUAGUCUUGUGGGGCUGGAGGCACAGUGGCUUAGAAGUGGGGUGACCUGGUUGUGAUCAAAAGGCUCCUCCCUCUGUUCACCAUCCAUGGAAAAUGUGCCUCAUCUUGCACCACACACCAGUGGAAAAGGGAAUUUUAGGAAAACGUUCUGGAGGCUGGAAGACCAAGAUCAAAGUGUUGGCCGAGCCAUGCUCCUGCUGAAGCCGCUGGGGGAGGCUCCGUGUAGUUUCUGGGAGCCCCAGGCAUUUGUGGCGUGUGGCAGCAUCUCUCCGAUCUCUGCCUCCAUCUUCACACGGCGGUCUCUGCUCUGUGUGUGUCCAGAUUUCCCUCUUCUUAAUAAGGACGCUUGUCCCACUGGGUUCAGAGUCCACCCUACUCCAGCAUGAGCUCAUCUUCAUUUAAUUAAAUGCAUUGUUUUUGUUGUUGUUGUUGUUGCUGUUUGUUUCUGUUUCUUGUUGUUUUCAUCUUUUUCCCAUUGGGUUUGACCAACUCUAUCCAACUUGAUCAAAUCCGAAGGAAAAUUCCAAAUUAUGGAGAACAAGACCUCUGAAUUGGCUAAAUUCCUGCAAAUUUCCACAUGCUGGGAAGGCCUCACAAUCAUGGUGGAAGGCAAGGAAGAGCAAAUCACAUCUUAUGUGGAUGGCAGCAGGCAAAAGGAGAGCUUGUGCAGGGCAACUCCCAUUUUCAAAACCAUCAGAUCUCAUGAGACCCAUUCGCUUGGAACUCUAGCCAUGAGAUAUCAAUACAAGCUCACAGGUUUUACAUGGUUACACUUUGUUUGCUCCAAUAGGUAAUCCAGUGAAGGCUGUGAACCAAACAUUUUUAAA
This 2046-nucleotide long non-coding RNA is filed under the name Homo sapiens (human). Its description in RNAcentral is "HSALNT0340116". The record is from RNAcentral. Lineage: Eukaryota; Metazoa; Chordata; Mammalia; Primates; Hominidae.